Molecule: non-coding RNA, 497 nt
Organism: Zootermopsis nevadensis
Lineage: Eukaryota; Metazoa; Arthropoda; Insecta; Blattodea; Termopsidae
Source: RefSeq, a predicted model, not a curated record
CAGGCCUGUUUCUUCCUGGUGCUUCCAAGGAUUGUGGACAAAUCUUUACAAUUUGGUGACUAAUUGCAUGAGAAAUUCAGUAGCAAUGAUGGGCAAAGUAUUAAACCAACCAGUGAAUCGUAAUGCACGCUACGAGUGACGGCAAGCAAAGGAACGAAAUUGAUGGCCAUCACCCAUACAAGAGAUUUAUUAUAUUCGUGGCAAGGCUGUUUAACUGCACUAAUGAGUUGUAAAGGGAAGGACACGGCAAUGCUCUGAUUUCUUGAUGGUUCCAAACAUUAUUUGGGGAUGAACCAACUACAAAAGAGGCCGGUUGAGGUAAUAAGAGAUUGGCUUAUUCUUGUCUGCUGAAAAAUUAACUUCUUGGUGCCAAUAUUGAAGAUCUUAAAGGCCAGUGUAAUGAGAGAAGAUCGUUCAUUCCAUUGGAGGGAUCAGAUAUAUUUCAGAAUAAUGAAAAACAAAACAUAAGAUGCAAAUAAUAAGAAGAUCAACAGAAC